This 198-nucleotide ribosomal RNA is filed under the name uncultured bacterium. RNAcentral's name for it is "partial 16S ribosomal RNA". It matches the Rfam family "Bacterial small subunit ribosomal RNA", at positions 326 to 539 of the family's 1533-position model. The record is from RNAcentral.
ACGCUCGACACCUACGGUAGGCAGCAGUGGGGAAUAUUGCACAAUGGGGGAAACCCUGAUGCAGCGACGCCGCGUGGAGGAAGAAGGUCUUCGGAUUGUAAACUCCUGUUGUUGGGGAAAAAGAGGAUGGUACCCAACAAGGAAGUGACGGCUAACUACGUGCCAGCAGCCGUGGUAAUCUGAGCGGGCUGGCAAGGC